GGUCAAGCUACAAAGGGCGCAUGGUGAAUGCCUUGGCAUCAGGAGCCGAUGAAGGACGUGAUAAGCUGCGAUAAGCUUCGGGUAGGCGCACAUAGCCAGAGAUCCGGAGAUUUCCGAAUGGGGAAACCCGCAUGAGAAACCUCAUGCAUCGUAAAGUGAAUACAUAGCUUUAUGAAGGAACACCUAGGGAACUGAAACAUCUAAGUACCUAGAGGAAGAGAAAGAAAAAUCGAUUUUCUUAGUAGCGGCGAGCGAAAAGGAAAGAGCCCAAACCAGAGAUUUAUCUCUGGGGUUGCGGACAGAACAUAACGUGAAAUUAUGAUUAACCGAACACAACUGGAAAGUUGGACCGUAGGAGGUAAUAGUCCUGUAAGUAAAAGUCAUAAUGAUCAGUUCUGCACCAGAGUACCACGAGACACGUGAAACCUUGUGGGAAGCAGGGAGGACCACCUCCCAAGGCUAAAUACUACCUGAUGACCGAUAGUGAAGCAGUACCGUGAGGGAAAGGUGAAAAGAACCCCGGGAGGGGAGUGAAAUAGAACCUGAAACCAUGUGCCUACAACCGAUCAAAGCACCUUAUGUGUGUGAUGAUGUGCUUUUUGUAGAACGAGCCAACGAGUUACGGUAUGUAGCGAGGUUAAGUACUUAAGGUACGGAGCCGAAGGGAAACCGAGUCUUAAUAGGGCGACUAGUUGCAUGCUGUAGACCCGAAACCGGGUGACCUAUCCAUGGCCAGGUUGAAGCGAGGGUAAAACCUCGUGGAGGACCGAACCACGUUGCUGUUGAAAAAGCAUGGGAUGAGCUGUGGAUAGCGGAGAAAUUCCAAUCGAACUCGGAUAUAGCUGGUUCUCCUCGAAAUAGCUUUAGGGCUAGCGUCGUGAAAUGUGAGUACUGGAGGUAGAGCACUGAAUAGGCUAGGGGGCAUAGCGCUUACCGAACCUUAUCAAACUCCGAAUGCCAGAUACUAUCAGCACGGCAGUCAGACUAUGAAAGAUAAGUUCCAUGGUCAAAAGGGAAACAGCCCAGAUCGUCAGCUAAGGUCCCAAAGUGUAAGUUAAGUGGAAAAGGAUGUGGGAUUUCUAAGACAACUAGGAUGUUGGCUUAGAAGCAGCCACUCAUUAAAAGAGUGCGUAAUAGCUCACUAGUCAAGAGAUCCUGCGCCGAAAAUGUCCGGGGCUCAAACUUACCACCGAAGCUACGGGUUCAUACUUUGUAUGAGCGGUAGAGGAGCGUCGUAAUCGGGCUGAAGUCGUACCGUAAGGAGCGGUGGACUGAUUACGAGUGAGAAUGUUGGCAUUAGUAGCGAGAUGUAGGUGAGAAUCCUACAGGCCGAAUAUCUAAGGUUUCCUGAGUAAAGUUUGUCUUCUCAGGGUUAGUCGGGACCUAAGGCGAGGCCGAGAGGCGUAGUCGAUGGACAAUUGGUUGAUAUUCCAAUACCACUAUAAUCGUUAUUAUCGAUGGUGUGACGGAGAAGGAUAGGAUGUGCCAGCUAUUGGAUGCUGGUCUAAGCGUUGAGGGAGUUAGAACAGGCAAAUCCGUUCUAACAAUCCUAGGGCGUGAUGGGGAAGGUUCUACGGAACCGAAGUAUCUGAUUUCAUGCUUCCAAGAAAAGCAUCUAGAAAGAGAAGUAGUGCCCGUACCGCAAACCGACACAGGUAGAUGAGGAGAGAAUCCUAAGGCCGACGGAAGAAUCACAGUUAAGGAACUAGGCAAAUUGACCCCGUAACUUCGGGAGAAGGGGUGCCUACCAAUUGGUAGGCCGCAGAGAAUAGGCACAAGCAACUGUUUAACAAAAACACAGGUCUCUGCUAAAGCGUAAGCUGAUGUAUAGGGGCUGACGCCUGCCCGGUGCUGGAAGGUUAAGGGGAACACUUAGCGCAAGCGAAGGUGUGAACUUAAGCCCCAGUAAACGGCGGCCGUAACUAUAACGGUCCUAAGGUAGCGAAAUUCCUUGUCAGGUAAGUUCUGACCCGCACGAAUGGCGUAAUGACUUGUGCACUGUCUCAACUGUGAAUCCGGCGAAGUUGUAGUGCGAGUGAAGAUGCUCGCUACCCGCGAUUGGACGGAAAGACCCCGUAGAGCUUUACUGUAGCUUAGCAUUGAAUUUCGGUAUUGUCUGUACAGGAUAGGUGGGAGACUGGGAAAUUAGGGCGUCAGCCUUAAUGGAGUCGUUGUUGGGAUACCACCCUGAUAGUAUUGAAGUUCUAACUGGAUGCCAUGAAACUGGUGACAGGACAUUGUUAGGUGGGCAGUUUGACUGGGGCGGUCGCCUCCUAAAAUGUAACGGAGGCGCCCAAAGGUUCCCUCAGAACGGUCGGAAAUCGUUCGUAGAGUGUAAAGGCAUAAGGGAGCCUGACUGCGAGACCUACAAGUCGAGCAGGGACGAAAGUCGGGCUUAGUGAUCCGGUGGUACCUCGUGGGAGGGCCAUCGCUCAACGGAUAAAAGCUACCUCGGGGAUAACAGGCUGAUCUCCCCCAAGAGUUCACAUCGACGGGGAGGUUUGGCACCUCGAUGUCGGCUCGUCGCAUCCUGGGGCUGAAGUAGGUCCCAAGGGUUGGGCUGUUCGCCCAUUAAAGCGGCACGCGAGCUGGGUUCAGAACGUCGUGAGACAGUUCGGUCCCUAUCCGUCGCGGGCGUAGGAAAUUUGAGAGGA
RNAcentral lists this ribosomal RNA (2654 nucleotides) under Enterococcus faecium. Its description in RNAcentral is "partial 23S ribosomal RNA". It matches the Rfam family "Bacterial large subunit ribosomal RNA". Lineage: Bacteria; Bacillati; Bacillota; Bacilli; Lactobacillales; Enterococcaceae. The record is from RNAcentral.